This 90-nucleotide transfer RNA is filed under the name Mesocricetus auratus (golden hamster). It matches the Rfam family "tRNA". From Rfam's summary of the family: Transfer RNA (tRNA) molecules are approximately 80 nucleotides in length. Their secondary structure includes four short double-helical elements and three loops (D, anti-codon, and T loops). The record is from Rfam by way of RNAcentral. Lineage: Eukaryota; Metazoa; Chordata; Mammalia; Rodentia; Cricetidae.
CCUUCGAUAGCUCAGUUGGUAGAGCGGAGGACUGUAGGGGAAAUCACUGUGGGUAUCCUUAGGUCGCUGGUUCGAAUCCGGCUCGAAGGA